AUUGAACGCUGGCGGCAGGCCUCACACAUGCAAGUCGAGCGGAUGAAGGGAGCUUGCUCCUGGCUUCAGCGGCGGACGGGUGAGUAAUGCCUAGGAAUCUGCCUGGUUGUGGGGGAUCACGUCCGGAAACGGGCGCUAAUACCGCAUACGUCCUGAGGGAGAAAGUGGGGGAUCUUCGGACCUCACGCUAUCAGAUGAGCCUAGGUCGGAUUAGCUAGUUGGUGGGGUAAAGGCCUACCAAGGCGACGAUCCGUACCUGGUCUGAGAGGAUGAUCAGUCACACUGGAACUGAGACACGGUCCAGACUCGUAAGGGAGGCAGCAGUGGGGAAGAUUGGACAAUGGGCGAAAGCAUGAUCCAGCCAUGCCGCGCGUGUGAAGAAGGUCUUCGGAUUGUAAAGCACUUUAAGUGGGGAGGAAGGGCAGUAAGUUAAUACCGUGCUGUUUUGACGGUACCAACAGAAUAAGCACCGGCUAACUUCGUG
Molecule: ribosomal RNA, 484 nt
Filed under: uncultured bacterium
Lineage: Bacteria
Description: partial 16S ribosomal RNA
Rfam family: Bacterial small subunit ribosomal RNA
Source: RNAcentral